Indicator indicator is the source of this 429-nucleotide non-coding RNA. NCBI's taxonomy places the organism in Eukaryota, Metazoa, Chordata, Aves, Piciformes, Indicatoridae. The record is from the annotation of a RefSeq genome assembly.
AUGGGCUGCAGAAUGCGGCGCUGCCAGGGGGCGACGCUGGCGGUGGUGCUUCUGCUGGCAGCAGAUGCAGGUGGAGCCGAGGUGCAGCAGGAGCUGUCGGCAGAGACAACCGAGGGCACCGGCAUCACCUUUAGCUGCUCACACCCCAACGCAAAUAUAUUCGACUUCAUCCACUGGUACUGGCAGCUCCCAGGCCGAGGUCCCACGUUCCUCGUUCGAGCUCUUUCAGGAUCCAAGGAGCUGCAGUCCCUGGCAGGACAGCUGUCGGUGGCAGCAAACCACCUGUCCAGCUCCCUGUGGCUCACCCGGCCCCGGCGCAGGGACAUGGCAGUGUAUUCCUGUGCCCUAGGAGACAUGGGGAGAGGAGCCGGGGCUGCACCCAUGCACGAACUGCCAUGGGUGGGGUGGGGCCGGCGGGGCACGCUCUAG